Molecule: ribosomal RNA, 111 nt
Filed under: Caerostris darwini
Lineage: Eukaryota; Metazoa; Arthropoda; Arachnida; Araneae; Araneidae
Source: RNAcentral
ACGGCCAUACCGUGAUGAAUAUACCGGUUCUCGUUAGAUCACCGAAGUCAAGCAUCAUUGGGCACGGUCAGUACGUGGGUGGGUGACCACCUGAGAACACCGCGUGCCGUU